CGCGAAAUCUCCCUUCGGGGAGAAGUAGAGUGGCGCACGGGUGAGUAACACGUAGGUAAUCUACCUCUGGGUGGGGAAUAACAGCCGGAAACGGCUGCUAAUACCGCAUAACGCAGCGGCACCACAUGGUGACAGUUGUUAAAGCGGGGGAUUCUUCGGAACCUCGCGCCUGGAGAGGAGCCUGCGGCGGAUUAGCUAGUUGGUAGGGUAACGGCCUACCAAGGCAACGAUCCGUAGCCGGCCUGAGAGGGCGGUCGGCCACACUGGCACUGACAUACGGGCCAGACUCCUACGGGAGGCAGCAGUCGGGAAUUUUGGGCAAUGGGCGAAAGCCUGACCCAGCAACGCCGCGUGAAGGAUGAAGUUUUUCGGAAUGUAAACUUCACAAGAAUGGGAAGAAUAAGUCUGGGUUAAUAUCCCUGACGAUGACGGUACCAUUUGUAAGCUCCGGCUAACUCCGUGCCAGCAGCCGCGGUAAUACGGGGGGAGCAAGCGUUGUUCGGAUUUACUGGGCGUAAAGGGCGCGUAGGCGGCGCAACAAGUCACUUGUGAAAUCUCCGGGCUUAACUCGGAGCGGCCAAGUGAUACUGUCGUGCUAGAGUGCGGAAGGGGCUACUGGAAUUCUCGGUGUAGCGGUGAAAUGCGUAGAUAUCGAGAGGAACACCUGCGGCGAAGGCGGGUAGCUGGGCCGACACUGACGCUGAGGCGCGAAAGCUAGGGGA
This 722-nucleotide ribosomal RNA is filed under the name uncultured bacterium. RNAcentral describes it as "bacterial SSU rRNA". It matches the Rfam family "Bacterial small subunit ribosomal RNA", at positions 67 to 767 of the family's 1533-position model. The record is from RNAcentral.